CAGUGUGAUGGAUAUCUGCAGAAUUCGCCCUUAGAGUUUGAUCCUGGCUCAGAACGAACGCUGGCGGCGCGCCUAAUACAUGCAAGUCGAGCGAGAAGACGUAGCAAUACGUUUGUAAAGCGGCGAACGGGUGAGGAAUACAUGGGUAACCUACCCUCGAGUGGGGAAUAACUAACCGAAAGGUUAGCUAAUACCGCAUACGACUCCUGGUCUGCGGAUCGGGAGAGAAAGCGAUACCGCGGGUAUCGCGCUCCUGGAUGGGCUCAUGUCCUAUCAGCUAGUUGGUGAGGUAAUGGCUCACCAAGGCUUCGACGGGUAGCUGGUCUGAGAGGACGAUCAGCCACACUGGCACUGCGACACGGGCCAGACUCCUACGGGAGGCAGCAGUAAGGAAUAUUGCGCAAUGGGCGAAAGCCUGACGCAGCGACGCCGCGUGGGGGAUGAAGGUCUUCGGAUUGUAAACCCCUUUCGGCAGGGAAGAUGGAGCGGGUAACCGCUCGGACGGUACCUGCAGAAGCAGCCACGGCUAACUUCGUGCCAGCAGCCGCGGUAAUACGAAGGUGGCAAGCGUUGUUCGGAUUUACUGGGCGUACAGGGAGCG
This 601-nucleotide ribosomal RNA is filed under the name uncultured Planctomycetota bacterium. RNAcentral describes it as "uncultured planctomycete partial 16S ribosomal RNA". It matches the Rfam family "Bacterial small subunit ribosomal RNA", at positions 1 to 571 of the family's 1533-position model. The record is from RNAcentral. Lineage: Bacteria; Pseudomonadati; Planctomycetota.